GUUUUCGGAUAAUCGCGGUUUAGCUUGACUAGGCUGAGGAAAGUCCAUGCUCGCACAAGCUGCGAUGCUUGUAGUGUUCGUGCUUAGCGAAAAAAUAAGCUAAGGUACCUGCCUGGCAGGUAACGGCAGAUAAAACUCCUAAGGCUCCGGCUAUGGGGGAGUAGUCUUGAAAGUGCCACAGUGACGAAGUAACAUUAGAAAUGGUGUUAGUGGAACGCGGUAAACCCCUCGAGCGAGCAACCCAAACUAAGGUAGGGGCACUCUUUUUUAGGAAAUGAACAAGAAAAGAGACAGAUAUAUCUGUAGACAGAUGAUUAUCAUUAUACUUUUUUUCCUGAGAAGGUAUGAUACAGAACAUGGCUUAUAGAA
RNAcentral lists this RNase P RNA (369 nucleotides) under Vagococcus fessus. RNAcentral describes it as "Bacterial RNase P class B". It matches the Rfam family "Bacterial RNase P class B". Rfam says of the family: Ribonuclease P (RNase P) is a ubiquitous endoribonuclease, found in archaea, bacteria and eukarya as well as chloroplasts and mitochondria. Its best characterised activity is the generation of mature 5'-ends of tRNAs by cleaving the 5'-leader elements of precursor-tRNAs. The record is from Rfam by way of RNAcentral. Lineage: Bacteria; Bacillati; Bacillota; Bacilli; Lactobacillales; Enterococcaceae.